This 369-nucleotide RNase P RNA is filed under the name Alphaproteobacteria bacterium. RNAcentral describes it as "RNase P RNA component class A". It matches the Rfam family "Bacterial RNase P class A". Rfam says of the family: Ribonuclease P (RNase P) is a ubiquitous endoribonuclease, found in archaea, bacteria and eukarya as well as chloroplasts and mitochondria. Its best characterised activity is the generation of mature 5'-ends of tRNAs by cleaving the 5'-leader elements of precursor-tRNAs. Cellular RNase Ps are ribonucleoproteins. The record is from RNAcentral. Lineage: Bacteria; Pseudomonadati; Pseudomonadota; Alphaproteobacteria.
UCAGGUGGUUGGAUGGUCGCUUCUUUUUAUAAAGAAGAGGAAAGUCCGGGCUCCAUAGAAACGCGGUGCCGGGUAAUGCCCGGCGAGGGUGACCUUAGGGAAAGUGCCACAGAAAGCAAACCGCCUUGCAUGCAAGGUAAGGGUGAAAGGGUGCGGUAAGAGCGCACCGCAAGCACAGCAAUGUGGUUGGCAUGGUAAACCCCACCGGGAGCAAGACCAAGUAGGGAUGAUAGGCAAAUGCCAAGCUUGUUUCUAAGCUGUCAUUCGGGUCGGUCGCUUGAGAAUGUCAGCAAUGACAUUCCUAGAUGAAUGGCCAUCACGGUUCCCACAAGAUCCGUACAGAACCCGGCUUAUAAACCACCUGACAAC